UCAAGCAGGUCAGGAAGCAGGAGCUGAUGU
RNAcentral lists this non-coding RNA (30 nucleotides) under Mus musculus (house mouse). The record is from RNAcentral. Lineage: Eukaryota; Metazoa; Chordata; Mammalia; Rodentia; Muridae.